RNAcentral lists this transfer RNA (61 nucleotides) under Onymocoris hackeri. RNAcentral's name for it is "tRNA-Thr". The record is from RNAcentral. Lineage: Eukaryota; Metazoa; Arthropoda; Insecta; Hemiptera; Thaumastocoridae.
GUUUUAAUAGUUUAUUCAAAAUAGUGAUUUUGUAAUUCACAGUUAGCUCUGCUUUAAAACU